RNAcentral lists this ribosomal RNA (253 nucleotides) under uncultured bacterium. RNAcentral's name for it is "partial 16S ribosomal RNA". It matches the Rfam family "Bacterial small subunit ribosomal RNA", at positions 524 to 776 of the family's 1533-position model. The record is from RNAcentral.
UACAGAGGGUGCGAGCGUUAAUCGGAGUGACUGGGCGUAAAGGGCGCGUAGGCGGUUAGAUUAGUCUGAUGUGAAAGGUCUGGGCUUAACCUGGGAUUGGCAUUGGAGACGGUCUAGCUAGAGUCUAAGAGAGGGAAGUGGAAUUUCCGGUGUAGCGGUGAAAUGCGUAGAUAUCGGAAAGAACACUCGUGGCGAAGGCGGCUUUCUGGCUUAGCACUGACGCUGAGGCGCGAAAGCGUGGGGAGCGAACAGG